RNAcentral lists this ribosomal RNA (1491 nucleotides) under Triticum aestivum (bread wheat). RNAcentral's name for it is "partial small subunit ribosomal RNA". The record is from RNAcentral. Lineage: Eukaryota; Viridiplantae; Streptophyta; Magnoliopsida; Poales; Poaceae.
AUGUUCAUCACCAUAGACGACCAUACCAUGGAGGGGAUCACCAUCUUCUAUUGCCUCAUCCUCUCCCUCCCUCUCAUCUUUAUGCUCAGCCAUCAUGGGCGCAAGAAAGGGGCAAUGAAGCUCCCACCUGGUCCGCCCACUCUGCUCUUCGUAGCCAAGUUCGUGGUGCUCGGGCGGUCAGUCUUUCAAAUUGGCCCGAUACUUCGCGGGUUGCAUGCGCGCCAUGGUCCCAUCAUCUCCAUUUGGCUGGUGCGCACCUUCGUUUUCGUGGCCGACCGCCGCCUCGCGCAUAGCAUCCUCAUCAAGAGCAACGGCAACUUCGACGACCGCCCGCCCUCCACCGAGAUGAUGCACCUGUUUUUCCCCCACACUAUCAGCACCUCGCCCUAUGGGGCCUACUGGCGUCUUGUCCGCCGCAACCUGCACGCGCAGGCACUGCACCCGUCCCGCCUCAGGCUCUUCGCGCCGGCGAGGCAACGCGCGUGCGACGCGAUCCUUGGGUCACUGCGCGACGAUGCAUCGCGGGUCAUUGCGGUGAGGCCAUUGUUGGGGCGCUGUCUUUUUGAGGUGCUUGUGUGCAUGAGCCUUGGCGCCAGGCUUGGGCAGGAGGUGCUCGACGAGCUGCAGGAGAUGCACCAGCAGAUUUUCCAUGCCAUCACCAGCUUCCCCGUCUUCUCCAUCUUCCCGGCGCUCACUAAAAGGCUGCUGCGGAAGCGGUGGGCGACGCACGUGGCGCUGAACGAGAGGCGGAACGAAGUGCUCCUGCCGCUGAUCCGCGCGCCUCGCGGCGGCGAGAACCCCUCGUGCUACGCCGACUCACUCCUCGAGCUGCGCGUCGCCGAGGAAGGCAGCCGCCCCCUCACGGACGCCGAGAUGGUCACCCUCUGCUCCGAGUUCAUGACUGCCGCCGUGGACACCACCAUGAGCUUGAUAGAGUGGAUCAUGGCGGAGCUCGUGAACCACCCCGACGUUCAAGCCAAGGUGUAUCAGGAGGUGAGGGAGAAGCCUGAGCUCAAUGAGGACGACCUGUGCGGGAUGCCAUACCUCAAGGCCGUCGUGUUGGAGGGCACGCGGCUGCACCCUGGGGCCCACUUAAUCAUCCCGCACGGCGUGAAGAACGACGCGGAGAUAGGUGGAUACAUGGUGCCCAAGGGUUCUGAGGUCAACUUCUUGGUCGCCGACUUCGGGCUCGAUGAGACCGUGUGGACGGCGGCGCGGGAGUUCCGGCCGGAGCGGUUCUUGGACGGCGAUGACCUGGACAUCACCGGAAGCAGGGAGAUCAAGAUGGCGCCUUUUGGCGCUGGCCGCAGGAUGUGUCCAGGGUACACGCUCGCCAUAAUGCAUGCGGAGUACUUCGUGGGCAGCCUCGUGAGGGAGUUCGAGUGGCUGCCACCAUCACCAGCAGAAGCAACUGUCGACAUGACCGAGGACCUAGCCAGCAUCAUCGCCAUGAAGCACCCGCUCCGUGCUCGCAUCAUCCCAAGGGCUUAG